Molecule: long non-coding RNA, 190 nt
Organism: Magnolia sinica
Lineage: Eukaryota; Viridiplantae; Streptophyta; Magnoliopsida; Magnoliales; Magnoliaceae
Exons: 2
Source: RefSeq, a predicted model, not a curated record
CACCGGCGGUAUAAGCGGUGCGUGAGCCACGAGGAGGCCGCACUGUUCGCACCGCCGCACAUUACCCAUGAGGACUGGCGGAUACUCUAUGAUAGAUUUUUGUCUGAUUCUUUUCAGAAGAGGAGCAAAAUAAAUUCUGACAACAGGGGAAAGUUAGAAGUGAACCACGUAGCUGGUUCAAAGUCAUUUG